GACGAACGCUGGCGGCGUGCUUAACACAUGCAAGUCGAACGGAAAGGCCCCUUUGGGGGUCCUCGAGUGGCGAACGGGUGCGUAACACGUGAGUAACCUGCCCUUGACUUCGGGAUAACUUCAGGAAACUGGGGCUAAUACCGGAUAGGAAUCCUUGCUGCAUGGUGGGGGUUGGAAAGCUUCGGCGGUUUUGGCUGGACUCGCGGCUUAUCAGCUUGUUGGUGGGGUAGUGGCUUACCAAGGCUUUGACGGGUAGCCGGCCUGAGAGGGCGACCGGCCACAUUGGGACUGAGAUACGGCCCAGACUCCUACGGGAGGCAGCAGUGGGGAAUAUUGCACAAUGGGCGGAAGCCUGAUGCAGCAACGCCGCGUGCGGGAUGACGGCCUUCGGGUUGUAAACCGCUUUCAGCAGGGGCGAAGCUUGUGGUGACGGUACCUGCAGAAGAAGCACCGGCUAACUACGUG
Molecule: ribosomal RNA, 465 nt
Filed under: uncultured bacterium
Lineage: Bacteria
Description: partial 16S ribosomal RNA
Rfam family: Bacterial small subunit ribosomal RNA
Source: RNAcentral